Molecule: ribosomal RNA, 704 nt
Filed under: Kocuria sp. MJB15
Lineage: Bacteria; Bacillati; Actinomycetota; Actinomycetes; Micrococcales; Micrococcaceae
Description: bacterial SSU rRNA
Rfam family: Bacterial small subunit ribosomal RNA
Source: RNAcentral
AUGAUGCCCAGCUUGCUGGGCGGAUUAGUGGCGAACGGGUGAGUAAUACCUGAGUAACCUGCCCUUGACUCUGGGAUAAGCCUGGGAAACUGGGUCUAAUACUGGAUACUACCUCUUACCGCAUGGUGGGUGGUGGAAAGGGUUUUACUGGUUUUGGAUGGGCUCACGGCCUAUCAGCUUGUUGGUGGGGUAAUGGCUCACCAAGGCGACGACGGGUAGCCGGCCUGAGAGGGUGACCGGCCACACUGGGACUGAGACACGGCCCAGACUCCUACGGGAGGCAGCAGUGGGGAAUAUUGCACAAUGGGCGGAAGCCUGAUGCAGCGACGCCGCGUGAGGGAUGACGGCCUUCGGGUUGUAAACCUCUUUCAGUAGGGAAGAAGCGAGAGUGACGGUACCUGCAGAAGAAGCGCCGGCUAACUACGUGCCAGCAGCCGCGGUAAUACGUAGGGCGCAAGCGUUGUCCGGAAUUAUUGGGCGUAAAGAGCUCGUAGGCGGUUUGUCGCGUCUGCUGUGAAAGCCCGGGGCUCAACCCCGGGUCUGCAGUGGGUACGGGCAGACUAGAGUGCAGUAGGGGAGACUGGAAUUCCUGGUGUAGCGGUGAAAUGCGCAGAUAUCAGGAGGAACACCGAUGGCGAAGGCAGGUCUCUGGGCUGUUACUGACGCUGAGGAGCGAAAGCAUGGGGAGCGAACAGGAUUAGAUA